Molecule: ribosomal RNA, 687 nt
Filed under: uncultured Planctomycetota bacterium
Lineage: Bacteria; Pseudomonadati; Planctomycetota
Description: bacterial SSU rRNA
Rfam family: Bacterial small subunit ribosomal RNA
Source: RNAcentral
GGCCGAAGCAAAAGCGAUAAGUGCACCGCUUGGCGGGUACGGUCGCAUGGCUACAACUCAAAGGAAUUGAUGGGGGCUCACACAAGCGGUGGAGCAUGUGGAUUAAUUGGAUGCAACGCGAAGAACCUUAUCAUGGGUGUGACAUGUAUGGAUUAACUCCGUGAAAGGGGAGCCACGCUCUAUGAGUGGAACAUACACAGGUGCUGCAUGGCUGUCGUCAGCUGGUGUCGUGAGAUGUUGGGUUAAGUCCCUUAUACGAGCGAAACCCCUAUAGUUUGUUGCCAGCGGGUAAUGGCGGGGACUCUAACGAGACUGCUGGUGUCAAACCGGAGGAAGGUGGGGACGAGGUCACGUCCUCAUGGCCUUUAUGCCCAGGGCUGCACUCGGGGUACAAUGGCGGUCUCAGAGCGAACCAGUGCCGUGAGGCUGUGGAAAUAGCAAAAAACAGUCCCCAGUUUGGAUCGCAGUCUGCAACUCGAGUGAGUGAAGUGGGAAUCGCUAGUAAUCGGGUAUCAGUUUCGACGCGGUGAAUCCGUUCGUGAGCCUUGUACACUCCGCCAGUCAAGUCAUGGAAGCCGGGAGUGCCCGAAGUCGCACGGACUCAUGUGUGCCUACGGCAAGCUGGGUGAUUGGGAUUAAGUGGUAUCAAGGUAGCCGUAGGGGAACUUGCGGCCGGAUCUCCUCCUU